AGUAUAGAUUGAUCUUUGUUCAAUUUGCCAUUUCCUUUGUCCAUGUAGGUUCCUUGUGAAAUUCCACAUUGCUCCAGAUUUCAGGGACAGCUCUUGCUUCAUGUACCCAGGACCUGUUUCAAAUUCAGCUAAUGGAGAUUAUAUCUGCCUCGGCCUCUUCCGCAAACACUGGAUUCACUGGAGUGUGUUACAGACAAUACGGCUCUCAAACAAUGAAGCAUUUGUGUUCAUUUUCUUCUAUUUUAUCUUUGGAAUUCUACUAUUUAGGUCACUAUCUGUUGCUUCCAGCUACUCUUCCCUGACAAAUUGUAGCUCUUUUUAGGCUUAAAAAGAUAUAAUCAAUGAAUUCAUCUCUGUUAUUCCUCUGGGUAUAAAGGUCUAGGUGUAAUAAGUGGUACACAUAUUCCAAGAUUACGUUGCUGUUCCUGAACUGCAGCCCCAAGAUUAAUUGUGCGUUAUAGGCCAAAAUUUGAAGAGCUGCUGGAUGCUGACCUCUUCAAAAAUCUGAGAUAAAUAACACAAUAAAGAACACUGUUACCAAAUUUCUCA
Molecule: long non-coding RNA, 549 nt
Filed under: Anser brachyrhynchus (Pink-footed goose)
Lineage: Eukaryota; Metazoa; Chordata; Aves; Anseriformes; Anatidae
Description: lncRNA (ENSABRG00000002621.1)
Source: RNAcentral